AGGACGUACGCUGGCGGCGCGCUUAACACAUGCAAGUCGAGCGAGAACCAGACCUUCGGGUCUGGGGACAGCGGCGAACGGGUGAGUAACACGUGGGUAAUCAACCCUUGACACUGGGAUAGCCCGGGGAAACCCGGAUUAAUACCGGAUGGCCCUUUGGAUCCUCGGAUCUGAAGGAAAAGGUAGCUUCGGCCUCCGGUCAAGGACGAGCCCGCGGCGGAUUAGCUUGUUGGUGAGGUAACGGCCCACCAAGGCGACGAUCCGUAGCUGGUCUGAGAGGACGAUCAGCCACACUGGGACUGAGACACGGCCCAGACUCCUACGGGAGGCAGCAGUGGGGAAUCUUGCGCUAAUGCGGGAAACCGUGACGCAGCGACGCCGCGUGAGGGAAGAAGGCCUUCGGGUUGUAAACCUCUUUCAGGAGGGACGAAGCCACUCGGGUUAAUAGCCCAGAGGGUGACGGUACCUCCAGAAGAAGCCCCGGCUAACUACGUGCCAGCAGCCGC
Molecule: ribosomal RNA, 506 nt
Filed under: uncultured bacterium
Lineage: Bacteria
Description: SSU rRNA
Rfam family: Bacterial small subunit ribosomal RNA
Source: RNAcentral